CCUACGGGUGGCAGCAGUGAGGAAUAUUGGUCAAUGGACGAGAGUCUGAACCAGCCAAGCCGCGUGAAGGAUGACUGCCCUGUGGGUUGUAAACUUCUUUUAUAAAGGAAUAAAACGAGGCACGCGUGCCUUUUUGCAUGUACUUUAUGAAUAAGCAUCGGCUAACUCCGUGCCAGCAGCCGCGGUAAUACGGAGGAUCCGAGCGUUAUCCGGAUUUAUUGGGUUUAAAGGGAGCGUAGACGGGUUGUUAAGUCAGUUGUGAAAGUGCGGGGCUCAACCGUAAAAUUGCAAUUGAUACUGGCAGUCUUGAGUAGAGGUGAGGUAUGCGGAAUUCGUGGUGUAGCGGUGAAAUGCAUAGAUAUCGCGAAGAACCCCGAUUGCGAAGGCAGCUUACUGAACUGUGACUGAUAUUGAGGCUCGAAAGUGUGGGUAUCAAACAGGAUUAGAUACCCUAGUAGUC
This 460-nucleotide ribosomal RNA is filed under the name uncultured bacterium. Its description in RNAcentral is "partial 16S ribosomal RNA". It matches the Rfam family "Bacterial small subunit ribosomal RNA", at positions 338 to 795 of the family's 1533-position model. The record is from RNAcentral.